GUGGAGCCUGGACAUCAUAACAC
Molecule: non-coding RNA, 23 nt
Filed under: Cricetulus griseus (Chinese hamster)
Lineage: Eukaryota; Metazoa; Chordata; Mammalia; Rodentia; Cricetidae
Source: RNAcentral